AAGAUGACACUUUGAGGCAUCGUGUCUAUGGUUCAUUACUACAGAAGCUUCUCUGGAUGUGUAAAGCACAGGAAACCAGGCAGAGGAGGCACAGGGUGCUCUCCAGAACGAGAAGCCAGCUCCUGGAGUUGUUUGCUGCAACUGCCAUUCCCCAUUGAUGACCAUGCUCUUCCUUCAGAAGAGGGAGAGUGAGAGGACCAAGUCCAAGUGGU
Gorilla gorilla gorilla (western lowland gorilla) is the source of this 212-nucleotide small nucleolar RNA. Its record names the gene U3. It matches the Rfam family "Small nucleolar RNA U3". Rfam says of the family: Small nucleolar RNAs (snoRNAs) are involved in the processing and modification of rRNA in the nucleolus. There are two main classes of snoRNAs: the box C/D class, and the box H/ACA class. U3 snoRNA is a member of the box C/D class. The record is from Ensembl. NCBI's taxonomy places the organism in Eukaryota, Metazoa, Chordata, Mammalia, Primates, Hominidae.